Molecule: long non-coding RNA, 3171 nt
Organism: Daphnia carinata
Lineage: Eukaryota; Metazoa; Arthropoda; Branchiopoda; Diplostraca; Daphniidae
Exons: 15
Source: RefSeq, a predicted model, not a curated record
CAGUCACAUGUGUGUUCUCAUUCCAUGGAUGGACAAUGAAAGAUUGGAACAACACCAUUUUAAGCUGGCAUGUCAUGUUCAUACUCUUUUGGUAUGAAGAUAUGAUUUAAUUGCGAAUACUUUUUCACGGUUUGUCAUAUAUGUGUACGUGGCUUCAAGAAUUUAGAUCUAGCGGCUACUGGUGGUGUUGGCCCCAUGAAUCUUACUUUUUUUAAAGCUGGGUGAAGAAACGUUAGUUUCGUGCAACAAGAAACAACAAAUACUGCAAAUAAGUGUCAAUUUCGAACUGUGUAGAAAAAGGGGCAAAGUUGGUUUUGAGUGAAGACAAAUCUUCAAUACGCUAUCGCCUGUAUUGCUACCUCUGGCCGUCAUUAGCAGUGGGUUUGGUAGCAGAAAAGUUCAUGAAUUAAUGGAGUGAUUCUAUGUCAUGGCACUUUCAAAUCACAUGGAAUCCAUUACAAGUUUAAACGCAAGGUAUCACCGUCAGUGACAGGCACAUUUCUAGAUUGGCUUAACGCGUGCAGUCUGCACGCGCCAAAAAUUUUAGAGAAUAUCACAAGUUGUGAACAAGAGAUCCUGGUCCCUUGGCCCUCGUUCUCUCACCUCCAUGCCAGAUGGCCAUUAAGAAGGAUCAUAAAUAGUUUAUCUGCUUGCUAUCAUUGAAGGUAACUCGUGUUCUUAAAAGUAAGCACGACAGGCACAGAGCGACAAUGGCAACCUUCCUGCUUUUUUAUAAAAGGAUUGAGGAGACAAACAUUGGGGUUCCAGCGGUUUCCUUAGUCCAUGGAAGAAACUAAUAGGACGGGAAAUUCCAUCUUCAUCACUAACAAAAGAAAAGGCAUAUUUUUAAUUGGCUUAAUUGAUCUACUUUUCUGUCCGGGUUCACAAGUGUCAUGUAGCUGGCCACACCUCGAAAGGCUGCACGAAUCUAUUCAGUGAAUUGACAUGAAGUUGGAAAGCAGCACGAGCAAUACAUUCUGCUAUGAAAAGGAACUGUUUAAGGGCAUCGUCUUUGGAGAACGCUUUAACACUUUUGAUAGAUUCAUCCUUCAGGUUACAGGUAAAGAUGUACCUCAAUACAAAACACCCUUCGAAGAAGCUGGCCUGCUUUAAAUACUACUUCAAAACAUUAAAUAUUCUGGCUACAGAAAACCAACACGUUUUCAGAAAGCUUCAGUUGCAGGUGGCGUACUUGGAACGGUUUUGAACAUUGUUAGAACAAAGUGUUGCAGAUGCGUCUCAUGCCCUGGAGCAAAAGCCAGUAGUUGUAACACCCACUCGUGAACUGGCCAUUCUAAUUCACCGCGCGGCGUGUAAAUUCUCCUACAGUUCGGUUUUCAAGUCUGUGAUAAUAUGUGGAGGAAUUGUCACGAGCUAUCAUUAUAGAUCAGGAACAGUAAUGUAUGCCAAACAACUUAAGCUACGCGCUUUAAGUUCCCGAGAUGGCAUUCCUUACUAAAUCGCCAAUAUGUUCCGGUAUCUGACAGUUUUGGACCGCCAGAUUGCUCUAAUAAGUUGGCAUCUACUAAAUAUGUUUGCGCUAUCAAAUACCGGGGCGUAAUGGCGGUUUCGUAUUGAACAGCGGCUAUAGAACUUGACAUGCAGAGAUCAAGUUCUGUGCAAAUCGUUUGCAGUUUGAACAGGAGCGCCAAUAAGUGAGAUUCAGCUGUGGAAAUAUUAGGUAAUGGUACGACAAAUAGUGACAUCUAGCGGUGGAAAUUUAAGGUAUAUGGUACGCCAAAUAGUGCCAUCUGGCGGUGGAAAAGUAAGGUAAAUGGAACGCCAAACGGUGCCAUCUAGCGAUGAAAAAGUGAUUCGAAUGGUACGACCUGUAGUUCCAUCUUGCGGUGGAAAAGUGAGGCGAAUGGUACGCCGUAUAGUGGCAUCUCGCGGUAAAAAAGUGAGGUGAAUGGUACGCUAUCUAGGGGUCGGUAACACAGCUUGUAAUAAUUUAGUCACAUGAUAUUGUGACAGGAAAACAAAACAAGAAUUUUAAAUCACGGUAUAAAGCUUUUUUUGUCACGGUCUGCAAGGAAAUGACUCGGAAAUGGAAAUUAUGUCACUGUCUAUGUUCAACAACCAUUUGUGUAGCACCAGUAGGUAGGGAAAAUUUAAUUUGCAUUUCGUAAUUGUUUUGCCAGGGUUAUGCUGAGUGAACUUGCAGUUUUGGUAAAGUUAUUCAAGAUAAUUGCAAAUAGUAGUCCCAGAAUCAGAAGAAUUUUGUCUGACAUCUUUACUACGUGAACUUUAAAAGGCCUUGAUAUAUCAAAGGGCGCCCAAUGGAGAAAUUGUGCUUCUUCAACGAUCAAACUCAUCGAUUCCAACAGCCUGUUUGCAAACUUUCAGCCAAUGCGUUGCAAGGAAUGUAUUUCUAAUCCAGUCUUCGACACACUCAAUGCCAAGCUACCACCUUUCGAUACUUAAAAGCGAGGACCGAAUGGCACCUACACUUGGACUGGAUCGGACCGUUAUUUGGUCGAAUGGCUAGCAGCAAAAAUUAAACUUUACGUAUUCGUUCGUGCUAAUUAAUCAAACUAUUGCCAAUAUGUACGGGACGCAUGAGGGGUAUCGAUGGCGUGGCGAACUCUUUCUACUUAACGAUGGAUCGUGUAGCAAUGAUGGACUAUACUUUCCUGACAUGUGGGGAUGGAUUUAGCCUUGUUGUGCCACAUAUCAAGGAAUGUGAAGAACACUUUGAGUCCGUCUACCAUUGAUUCACAAUCAAACAGCCAACCCAAAGAAGUAAGCAAUAUUGCGCAGCAAAGAAGUCUUUUUACUUCAUUUGGAUUUCAUAUGAUCUACGUGAUGAACAUCAUGACGAAUCAAGGUGAUAAUCAAGUUUUUUUUGCCCUUAAGAAAUUAUGGUUUAAUUCUAGGCAUUGGUACUGGACUUGGAUUCUUGACGUUUUUGGUUGAACAGAUUUAUUCAAACUACAAGAAGCACAGACAUAGUUAGUUGGCGUUAAUUUAAAAAAACAAAAACAAUACUUCAGUUUUAUGGUAAGCUUGAUUAGUGGAUAAUCCAUUAGUAACUUUUUUUACAUUUUGAAAGUAAGCUUGAAUAUAGGAGAGAAUUAGCGUUUGAUAGUAGUGAAGCUUAUUUUCGUUUCUUGAAAAUUUCGCUAUCUGCUGCAAAAUGAAUAUAUAGAAAUGUGUUGUUUUCCUUUCUUU